CAGACAGUCUUUUAGCAUUGAUUGUCCAAACGCAAUUCUUGUUCACUUCGUUCUCCAAGAACUGUGUUCGGACAUCAAUCCUAGCAAGGCAGUACACAACC
Molecule: microRNA precursor, 101 nt
Filed under: Capitella teleta
Lineage: Eukaryota; Metazoa; Annelida; Polychaeta; Capitellidae
Description: microRNA cte-mir-219 precursor
Gene: cte-mir-219
Rfam family: mir-219 microRNA precursor family (bases 11-85)
About the family: The hairpin precursors (represented here) are predicted based on base pairing and cross-species conservation -- their extents are not known. In this case the mature sequence is excised from the 5' arm of the hairpin.
Source: miRBase by way of RNAcentral